GAUGAACGCUGGCGGCGUGCCUAAUUCAUGCAAGUAGAACGCUGAAGCUUGGUGCUUGCACCGAGCGGAUGAGUUGCGAACGGGUGAGUAACGCGUAGGUAACCUGCCUGGUAGCGGGGGAUAACUAUUGGAAACGAUAGCUAAUACCGCAUAACAGUCGACAUUGCAUGAUGUUGAUUUGAAAGGGGCAAUUGCUCCACUACCAGAUGGACCUGCGUUGUAUUAGCUAGUUGGUGAGGUAACGGCUCACCAAGGCGACGAUACAUAGCCGACCUGAGAGGGUGAUCGGCCACACUGGGACUGAGACACGGCCCAGACUCCUACGGGAGGCAGCAGUAGGGAAUCUUCAGCAAUGGACGGAAGUCUGACCGAGCAACGCCGCGUGAGUGAAGAAGGUUUUCGGAUCGUAAAGCUCUGUUGUAAGAGAAGAACGAGUGUGAGAGUGGAAAGUUCACACUGUGACGGUAACUACCAGAAAGGAC
Molecule: ribosomal RNA, 482 nt
Filed under: Streptococcus sp. oral taxon 066
Lineage: Bacteria; Bacillati; Bacillota; Bacilli; Lactobacillales; Streptococcaceae
Description: bacterial SSU rRNA
Rfam family: Bacterial small subunit ribosomal RNA
Source: RNAcentral